AGAACGAACGCUGGCGGCAGGCCUAACACAUGCAAGUCGAACGCUCCGCAAGGGGAGUGGCAGACGGGUGAGUAACACGUGGGAACAUACCCUUCGGUUCGGAAUAACUCAGGGAAACUUGAGCUAAUACCGGAUAAGCCCUUACGGGGAAAGAUUUAUCGCCAAAGGAUCGGCCCGCGUCUGAUUAGCUUGUUGGUGAGGUAACGGCUCACCAAGGCGACGAUCAGUAGCUGGUCUGAGAGGAUGAUCAGCCUCACUGGGACUGAGACACGGCCCAGACUCCUACGGGAGGCAGCAGUGGGGAAUAUUGGACAAUGGGCGCAAGCCUGAUCCAGCCAUGCCGCGUGGGUGAUGAAGGCCCUAGGGUUGUAAAGCCCUUUCGGCGGGGAAGAUAAUGACGGUACCCGCAGAAGAAGCCCGGCUAACUUCGUGCCAGCAGCCGC
Molecule: ribosomal RNA, 443 nt
Filed under: uncultured bacterium
Lineage: Bacteria
Description: SSU rRNA
Rfam family: Bacterial small subunit ribosomal RNA
Source: RNAcentral